GCUGGGCAUGGUGGCUCAUGCCUGUAAUCCCAGCUACUCAGGAGGCUGAGACAGGAGAAUUGCUUGAACCUGGGAGGCGGAGGUCGCAGUGAGCCAAGAUUGUGCCACUGACUAUACUCCCGCCUGGGAGACAGAGUGAGACCCUGUCUCAA
This 152-nucleotide non-coding RNA is filed under the name Gorilla gorilla gorilla (western lowland gorilla). The record is from Rfam by way of RNAcentral. Lineage: Eukaryota; Metazoa; Chordata; Mammalia; Primates; Hominidae.